Molecule: ribosomal RNA, 497 nt
Filed under: uncultured bacterium
Lineage: Bacteria
Description: partial 16S ribosomal RNA
Rfam family: Bacterial small subunit ribosomal RNA
Source: RNAcentral
GAUGAACGCUGGCGGCGUGCCUAAUACAUGCAAGUCGAGCGAACAGACGAGGAGCUUGCUCCUUUGACGUUAGUGGCGGACGGGUGAGUAACACGUGGAUAACCUACCUAUAAGACUGGGAUAACUUCGGGAAACCGGAGCUAAUACCGGAUAAUAUAUUGAACCGCAUGGUUCAAUAGUGAAAGACGGUUUUGCUGUCACUUAUAGAUGGAUCCGCGCCGCAUUAGCUAGUUGGUAAGGUAACGGCUUACCAAGGCAACGAUGCGUAGCCGACCUGAGAGGGUGAUCGGCCACACUGGAACUGAGACACGGUCCAGACUCCUACGGGAGGCAGCAGUAGGGAAUCUUCCGCAAUGGGCGAAAGCCUGACGGAGCAACGCCGCGUGAGUGAUGAAGGUCUUCGGAUCGUAAAACUCUGUUAUUAGGGAAGAACAAAUGUGUAAGUAACUAUGCACGUCUUGACGGUACCUAAUCAGAAAGCCACGGCUAACUACGUG